CCUACGGGUGGCAGCAGUGGGGAAUAUUGCACAAUGGGGGAAACCCUGAUGCAGCGACGCCGCGUGAGUGAAGAAGUUAUUCGUUAUGUAAAGCUCUAUCAGCAGGGAAGAAAAAGACGGUACGUGAGUAAGAAGCCCCGGCCACCAACUUGCCAGCAGGCGCGGUAAUACGUAGGGGGCAAGCGUUAUACGGAUUUACUGGGUGUAAAGGGGGCGUAGUCGGGAGUGCAAGUCUGGAGUGAAAGGCGGGGGCUCAACCCCCGGACUGCCCUGGAAACUGUACGGCUGGAGUGCAGAAGAGGUAAGUGGAAUUCCAAGUGUAGCGGUGAAAUGCGUAGAUAUUAGGAGGAACACCAGUGGCGAAGGCGGCUUACUGGACUGUAACUGACGUUGAGGCUCGAAAGCGUGGGGAGCAAACAGGAUUAGAUACCCGGGUAGUC
This 440-nucleotide ribosomal RNA is filed under the name uncultured bacterium. RNAcentral describes it as "partial 16S ribosomal RNA". It matches the Rfam family "Bacterial small subunit ribosomal RNA", at positions 338 to 795 of the family's 1533-position model. The record is from RNAcentral.